UACGUAGGGAGCAAGCGUUGUCCGGAAUCAUUGGGCGUAAAGCGCGCGUAGGUGGCCCUGUAAGUCCGUUGUGAAAGUCAAAGGCUCAACCUUUGAAAGCCGAUGGAUACUGCAGGACUAGAGUACGGAAGAGGCGAGUGGAAUUCCUGGUGUAGCGGUGGAAUGCGCAGAUAUCAGGAGGAACACCAAUAGCGAAGGCAGCUCGCUGGGACGUUACUGACACUGAGGCGCGAAAGCGUGGGGAGCGAACGGG
This 253-nucleotide ribosomal RNA is filed under the name uncultured bacterium. RNAcentral describes it as "partial 16S ribosomal RNA". It matches the Rfam family "Bacterial small subunit ribosomal RNA", at positions 524 to 776 of the family's 1533-position model. The record is from RNAcentral.